GACGAACGCUGGCGGCGUGCCUAACACAUGCAAGUCGAACGGAAAGGCCCUGCUUUUGUGGGGUGCUCGAGUGGCGAACGGGUGAGUAACACGGGAGUAACCUGCCCUUGACGUUGGGAUAACUUCAGGAAACUUGGGCUAAUACCGGAUAGGAUCUCCUGCUGCUUGGUGGGGGUUGGAAAGUUUCGGCGUUUGGGGAUGGACUCGCGGCUUAUCAGCUUGUUGGUGGGGUAGUGGCUUACCAAGGUGUUGACGGGUAGCCGGCCUGCGAGGGUGACCGGCCACAUUGGGACUGAGUUACGGCCCAGACUCCUACGGGAGGCAAGAGUGGGGAAUAUUGCACAAUGGGCGGAAGCCUGAUGCAGCCACGCCGCGUGCGGGAUGACGGCCUUCGGGUUGUAAACCGCUUUCGCCUGUGACGAAGCGUGAGUGACGGUAAUGGGUAAAGAAGCACCGGCUAACUACGUG
This 468-nucleotide ribosomal RNA is filed under the name uncultured bacterium. RNAcentral describes it as "partial 16S ribosomal RNA". It matches the Rfam family "Bacterial small subunit ribosomal RNA", at positions 28 to 507 of the family's 1533-position model. The record is from RNAcentral.